ACCCUUACUAAUUAUUGGAUGACUCCAUAACUUAUGGAGGCCACUAUGCUUGAACUAGUAACAAGAAUCCGAUUUUCUCCUAAAUAUUAAUGUAAGCCGCAACAGACAAACUAACGGCAAUCAACGCUAUUAAACCAAUUACAACAACCCUCAAGAGAAACUUGUAAAAUACAACGUUACCCUUACACAAGUAUAUUCCAGGAAAGAUUAAAAGAAAGAGAAGGAACUCGGCAAACUUUAACCCCGCCUGUUUACCAAAAACAUCGCCUCUUGCUUAAAUAUAAGAGGUCCAGCCUGCCCAGUGAACAUUAAACGGCCGCGGUACCCUAACCGUGCUAAGGUAGCACAAUUACUUGUCCUUUAAAUGGGGACUAGAAUGAAAGGCAUCACGAGGGUUAUACUGUCUCCUCUUUUUAAUCAGUGAAACUGACCUCCCCGUGAAAAGGCGGGAAUCAAAAUAUUAGACGAGAAGACCCCAUGGAGCUUCAGAUACCAAGUAAGUCUCAGCCAAAUCCACCACAGCUCCUGACUUCUACCUUUGAAUCUUCGGUUGGGGCAACCAUGGAGUAAAAACUAACCUCCACACUGAAUGGAUAUUCCUUAUUCAAGACCCACCAAUCUAAAAAACAGAAUACUGACACAACUGAUCCGGAAUCCGAUCAAUGAACCAAGUUACCCUGGGGAUAACAGCGCUAUCUACCUUGAGAGCCCCUAUCGACAGGUAGGUUUACGACCUCGAUGUUGGAUCAGGGUGUCCUAGUGGUGCAGCCGCUACAUAGG
This 780-nucleotide ribosomal RNA is filed under the name Cornufer cf. wolfi LSUMZ 94039. RNAcentral's name for it is "partial 16S ribosomal RNA". It matches the Rfam family "Bacterial large subunit ribosomal RNA", at positions 1244 to 2570 of the family's 2925-position model. Lineage: Eukaryota; Metazoa; Chordata; Amphibia; Anura; Ceratobatrachidae. The record is from RNAcentral.